UACGUAGGGUGCAAGCGUUGUCCGGAAUUAUUGGGCGUAAAGAGCUCGUAGGCGGUCUGUCACGUCGGCUGUGAAAACCCGAGGCUCAACCUCGGGCCUGCAGUCGAUACGGGCAGACUAGAGUUCGGUAGGGGAGACUGGAAUUCCUGGUGUAGCGGUGAAAUGCGCAGAUAUCAGGAGGAACACCGGUGGCGAAGGCGGGACUCUGGGCCGAUACUGACGCUGAGGAGCGAAAGCGUGGGGAGCGAACAGG
Molecule: ribosomal RNA, 253 nt
Filed under: uncultured bacterium
Lineage: Bacteria
Description: partial 16S ribosomal RNA
Rfam family: Bacterial small subunit ribosomal RNA
Source: RNAcentral